UUUGACCUCAAAUCAGGUAGGACUACCCGCUGGAACUUAAGCAUAUCAAUAAGC
Molecule: ribosomal RNA, 54 nt
Filed under: Pleurotus djamor
Lineage: Eukaryota; Fungi; Basidiomycota; Agaricomycetes; Agaricales; Pleurotaceae
Description: partial 28S ribosomal RNA
Source: RNAcentral